This is a long non-coding RNA of Notolabrus celidotus (New Zealand spotty), 1789 nucleotides long. RefSeq lists it as uncharacterized. Lineage: Eukaryota; Metazoa; Chordata; Actinopteri; Labriformes; Labridae. The transcript is spliced from 2 exons. The record is from RefSeq and is a predicted model, not a curated record.
AGAGGAGAGAGAGCCCAUCGAAUCGCUCUGCGUCCUGAGAGAGGAAUGGCAUCGCACGGCGGUCCAAGACAAAAAAAAAACACACCACAACCCACCUAUCACACACACACACUCACACACAUUCACACACACACACAAGAAGGCAGAGUGUUAGACCGCCAUGAGACAGCACAGCAGCGGGUGUUUCUGAGGAGGAGACGGGAUGAGAAGAGACGGCGGCGGUGGUUCAAACCAGGAACUCUCAGGCCCCGGCUGUGUGGCCUCAACAAGUCCAGUCACCUUAGUUUGAUCCAAGUGUUCACAGAGAAGGUGUUUGAGAGGUGAUCGUAUACGCAGACGAUGAACCGAGAUGUCAUCUUUUACCUGUCGGGGUUUCACAUUCUUCAAACACGUGUGCACAAGAUCUGAACACGUGCACGCAUGAAGACCACAUCACCCCGACCCAGGCCACUUCCUGUCCUUCAACAUGAUCAGACCCCUGACCGUCUUACCUCGGAUCAGCUGAUGGGUUUGCUGGUUGACCCCAGAGCCCGGGCUAAUGAAGUCCAGACUCUCAAACUCUGGAGUGACCUACCUGCGGAAAUCCGGCGCUCUAAAUCUGUCUCUACUUUUAAACCUCUCCUUAAAAGAUUCUAUUUUUAGUCUGUUUAACAUUUAAGACCGUCCUUUUGUUAUUAUGCAUUUAAAAUGUUAAAAUAUGUCAAGUUGUUUGUUGAGAGCAGAGCCGUGAAAAUGAAAGUUAUUAUUGUUAUUGCACUAAAUUAUCUCGUGCGCAAGAUACAAUCAUCAAUUUUAAUCUUGUGCACACAAGUUGACUCUUCAGAACAAGAUAACUAUUAAGUUCACUCAAAAUAAUAAUUGAUUAUAUCAGAUAUAAUAAAAAUUAUCUUGUGUGCAUAAGACAAUAAGUGUGCAAACAAGAUAACUUGCACUAAUAGGAUAUCUUAUUGAGGGAAUGAGUUCAACUUUGUGGACUCAAGUUGAUUUGUUAAAACAAGAUAAUUAUCAAAUUCAUGCAAUAUUAUAAUCUUAGGUAAACAAAUAUCUUGUGUGAAUGUUAUCUUGUGUGCAUAAGACAAUUAGUGUGUGAACAAGAUAACUUCUGCUCAUAGGAUAAUAUCUUUUUCACAUUUUGUGCUCUCAAGGGAAUUAUCGUCAUUACAAGUAAAUGAUCUUGCGCGCAAGAUAAAAUCAUCAAUUUUAAUCUUGUGCACAUAAGUUGACUCUUGAGAACAAGAUAACUAUUAAGUUCACUCAAUAUAAUAAUUUAUUAUAUCAGAUAUAAUAAAUAUUAUCUUGUGUGCAUAAGUAAAUUAGCAUGCUAACAAGGUAACUUGUGCUAACAGGAUAUCUGGUUAAUAUUUUGCGCAGUUAUCUUGUGCAAUUAAGGGAAUUAUAAUUUUUAUUAAAAGUAAAUGAUCUUGCGAACAAGAUAAAAUAUCGUGGGAAUGAGUUCAACUUUGUGGACUCAAGUUGAUUUGUUAAAACAAGAUAAUUAUCAAAUUCAUGCAAUAUGAUAAUCUUAGGUAAACAAAUAUCUUGUGUGAACGUUAUCUUGUGUGCAUAAGACAAUUAGUGUGUGAACAAGAUAACUUCUGCUCUUAGGAUAAUAUCUUUUUCACAUUUUGUGCUCUCAAGGGAAUUAUUCUCAUUACAAGUAAAUGAUCUUGCGCGCAAGAUAUAAUCAUAUUGUAGGAAUGCAUUAAAUCUUGUGGACUCAGGUUGACUCGUUAAAACAAGAUUAUUGUCCAUUUCAUGCAAUAUAUUUAUCUUAUGCAAAUAAAUAUUA